UACGAGGGGGGCAAGCGUUGUUCGGAAUUAUUGGGCGUAAAGGGUGCGUAGGCGGUCUGACAAGUCUGCUGUGAAAUCUAUGGGCUCAACCCAUAGUCUGCAUCGGAAACUGUCGGGCUUGAGUAUGGGAGAGGUGAGUGGAAUUUCCGGUGUAGCGGUGAAAUGCGUAGAUAUCGGAAGGAACACCUGUGGCGAAAGCGGCUCACUGGACCAUUACUGACGCUGAGGCACGAAAGCUAGGGGAGCAAACAGG
RNAcentral lists this ribosomal RNA (253 nucleotides) under uncultured bacterium. RNAcentral describes it as "partial 16S ribosomal RNA". It matches the Rfam family "Bacterial small subunit ribosomal RNA", at positions 524 to 776 of the family's 1533-position model. The record is from RNAcentral.